GACGAACGCUGGCGGCGUGCUUAACACAUGCAAGUCGAACGGAAAGGCCCUGCUUUUGUGGGGUGCUCGAGUGGCGAACGGGUGAGUAACACGUGAGUAACCUGCCCUUGACUUUGGGAUAACUUCAGGAAACUGGGGCUAAUACCGGAUAGGAGCUCCUGCUGCAUGGUGGGGGUUGGAAAGUUUCGGCGGUUGGGGAUGGACUCGCGGCUUAUCAGCUUGUUGGUGGGGUAGUGGCUUACCAAGGCUUUGACGGGUAGCCGGCCUGAGAGGGUGACCGGCCACAUUGGGACUGAGAUACGGCCCAGACUCCUACGGGAGGCAGCAGUGGGGAAUAUUGCAUAAUGGGCGGAAGCCUGAUGCAGCAACGCCGCGUGCGGGAAGACGGCCUUCGGGUUGUAAACCGCUUUCGCCUGUGACGAAGCGUGAGUGACGGUAAUGGGUAAAGAAGCACCGGCUAACUACGUG
RNAcentral lists this ribosomal RNA (468 nucleotides) under uncultured bacterium. RNAcentral's name for it is "partial 16S ribosomal RNA". It matches the Rfam family "Bacterial small subunit ribosomal RNA", at positions 28 to 507 of the family's 1533-position model. The record is from RNAcentral.